RNAcentral lists this long non-coding RNA (566 nucleotides) under Pan troglodytes (chimpanzee). Its description in RNAcentral is "long non-coding RNA NONPTRT003586". The record is from RNAcentral. Lineage: Eukaryota; Metazoa; Chordata; Mammalia; Primates; Hominidae.
GAGGAAGAGAGGAGCAAAUAUAUAUAUGGCACUCCAGGAAGAUGAAGUGUAUGCAGCUGUAGUCUGGGAGGUCUGAUGUUAGGGAAAAAGGAGGAAAGCAAGAUUAAAAAUCAUUCCUGGAAAUGCAAGAGCAAAUGUGCUGGAGUGGUGCUGUGAGUAUCAGGGACACUGGACAAGAAAGAUAAGCAAGCCACUGCCGUCUGAUUCCUACAUAGCAGACCCCUAAUUCCAGCAACCAGUUUGAAGACCCCCACAGAAGAGUGAGAUCAGCAGGAGAAUACACCUCAUUCAUCUCCCUAUUCCAUGACUUCACUGUGCACUCUGGGACCAAUCAACAAUCUCCACACUUCAGUUCACUCCAAAACCCUUAAAAAUUUUAUCCUCAAAUUCUUCAGGGAGAUGGAUUUGAGGCUCCCUCCCAUCUCCUUGUUCAGUGACCCUGCAAUUGAAUCUCUUUCUCUGCGCCAACUCAGCAUCUUGGUGUAUUGACUUGCUGUAUGCAUCAGGCAAUAAGCCUAUUACAGCUACGGUAGUCUAUCCAAUAUGAAACAAGAAAUAAAAUUCUG